GUAAACUAGUCUGACUUCGUCUGAUUUACGGGGCAACAUCAGAGAAGGCAGCAUGGAGAGGAAGAACAAAAAACGAGGUAAAACGACGCAGAAAAACGAAGUUAAAGUAUCGGAAGACGAAGUUGCAGCUGAGGCUGACGAUGCAACAGAAACAGAAGUGAAGAAACCGAAACUGUCUACAAGAGAAAUUAGCGAUGUGAAUCACGUCAUCAACCUCACUAUUGAACACUGCAAAUCCUGACGAGUGUUUGAGCGUAGAGCUACGGAACUUGCUGAUGCUCUACGCAGUCACUUCAGUGAAGUGAACCUGACCUUAAACCCUGAGAAGCCACGCCGUGGCAGCUUUGAGAUCACUCUGAACACCGAGGAUGGAUCAGAUGUCCUCGUGUGGACCGGCCUCAAGAAGGGCCCUCCAAGGAAACUGAAGUUCCCGGACAGUGAUGUCAUAGCCAAGGAGAUUCAAAA
This is a long non-coding RNA of Haliotis rubra (blacklip abalone), 465 nucleotides long. RefSeq lists it as uncharacterized. The record is from RefSeq and is a predicted model, not a curated record. NCBI's taxonomy places the organism in Eukaryota, Metazoa, Mollusca, Gastropoda, Lepetellida, Haliotidae. The transcript has 3 exons.